This is an RNA transcript of Siniperca chuatsi (mandarin fish), 1707 nucleotides long. RefSeq lists it as uncharacterized. The transcript has 7 exons. The record is from RefSeq and is a predicted model, not a curated record. NCBI's taxonomy places the organism in Eukaryota, Metazoa, Chordata, Actinopteri, Centrarchiformes, Sinipercidae.
GUUGUGACAGGUUACUGUUACGGUUACAGACAGGAGGGGAACACCGAGGGUGACAGGUGAACUUUAUUUAAUGACAGCCAGGAGAGCGUUAGGAAAGGGGAAGUGGAUGUAGGGAGGUCACUGAGGUAAACUGAGACUGGGGAACCACUGGAGAAGCCAUGGAUGACUGGAGAGACACCGGAAACAGGGGAAAGCACUGGAAACGAUCACAAAGAGAACUUGUGUUAUAGGGUGAGCAGAGUCCUAGACGCAAACAAGGUCAGACACUGAAUGAGGUGAGUGGUGUGCUUAUAUACUGGCUGUGAUUGGGGCUGAUUGAGAGCAGGAGUGUAACUGGGAGCAGGUGUGGGUGAUUACAGGCUGGUGAGGCCAUGACAGGCUGUGACAGUUACCAGUAGAUGGUAGUAUUUGUUUAGUGACGUGUUGGGGCCCAAUAAAAAGGUCUUCAAAUAUCAAACCUCCAGCCAGAAACCUGGGUGUGAUAUCCAACAGUGACCUUUUAUUUGAACAACAAAUCACAAAUGGUGUUCGAACUUGUUUUUAUCAAUUAAGAAGCAUCUCAAAGAUCAGGUCUUUUCUCUCUCAGCCUGAUCUCAAGAAGUGAUCACCUUUAAAGCACUUCAUGGUUCAGCUCCCAGCUACAUUGCUGAAUUGCUGCUUCCCUAUGAGCCAGUGCGCAGCCUCAGAUCUUCGGGCAGGGCUCUGCUGGCUGUUUCUGAGCCCCGGCUAAAGACUGAAGGUGACCAGGCUUUUGAAGUUCAGGCCCCUCGGCUCUUGAACUCCCUGCUCGAGGAUCUGAGAAAACUCCAGGACCAGGAUACCAAACCAGAACCCAGUCCAGGACCAGUUUCAUCUUCAAUCAGAAGGAGAGUUUUAGGGACUCAUCCAUUUGACCACAGGGAUGUACUGGUGUCCAGGGGAGACUCCGUCAUGUUCACUUGCAACAUAUCCAAUGCAAAUACAACGCAAAUCAACUGGACCAAAGGCAGAUCUGUUUUUGCUUAUUCAAUCUUACACAAUCAGACUUUUUCAAAUUUCACCUCUCACAGACUGAGAAUAGACCUAAACUUACCUUCAAAGCUGAAUAUUUUUAAUGCUCAGCAUGACGACGCAGGACUCUAUGUAUGUAAUGUGGCUGGUAAACGUGGUCUAGCGACUACUGAGUGGAAUUUAACGGUGUCUGAGAAACCUGAAGAAAUCAGUCCAUCGUGGUAUUUUCUAUACAUGCUCACACCUGCAAUUGGAUUUCUUCUAUGUGGCUUCACUCCAGCUGUCUGCCUCUGCAGAAAACUCAGGACCAGGACACCAAACCAGAACCCAGUCCAGGACCAGUUUCAUCUUCAGUCAGAAGGAGAGGUGGUCCUCCGUCAACCGCAGGGUGGCACAGACAGUAGGACAAAUAACCAGCAGAGGAGUCAGUACAUGGAGAGGGUCAAUUCAAUCUAUGGUCUCUAAAGUUAAACAAGAGACGUGAACAGAGUGUACAAGAGGAUUCAAAUGUGAUGGGUAUUACAUUUUUCAAUGUCAAACCAGGUGUUUCAUAGGAAGUAAAUUGGAGAGAGGACAACUGGGUCACUGAUGCCUUUGGCUUAUCUAAUAUUAAUACAUUAAAACCAGUACCUUCACUGUUCUGCCGUGUUUUCCUGUCUGUCCUGCACUUUGAACUCAGCAAGGCAAGUUCCUAACAAUGUUUGUUUUAAUGGAAAU